UACGGAGGGUGCAAGCGUUAUCCGGAUUCACUGGGUUUAAAGGGUGCGUAGGCGGCUAUGUAAGUCCGUGGUGAAAUCUCUGGGCUUAACCCGGAAACUGCCAUGGAUACUAUGUGUCUUGAAUGUUGUUGAGGUGAGCGGAAUAUGUCAUGUAGCGGUGAAAUGCUUAGAUAUGACAUAGAACACCCAUGGCGAAGGCAGCUCACUAAGAAAAUAUUGACGCUGAGGCACGAAAGCGUGGGGAUCAAACAGG
Molecule: ribosomal RNA, 253 nt
Filed under: uncultured bacterium
Lineage: Bacteria
Description: partial 16S ribosomal RNA
Rfam family: Bacterial small subunit ribosomal RNA
Source: RNAcentral